RNAcentral lists this transfer RNA (85 nucleotides) under Clostridiales bacterium. Its description in RNAcentral is "tRNA-Tyr". It matches the Rfam family "tRNA". Rfam says of the family: Transfer RNA (tRNA) molecules are approximately 80 nucleotides in length. Their secondary structure includes four short double-helical elements and three loops (D, anti-codon, and T loops). Lineage: Bacteria; Bacillati; Bacillota; Clostridia; Eubacteriales. The record is from RNAcentral. RNAcentral also lists the same sequence under 9 other names.
GGAGGAGUUCCCGAGUGGCCAAAGGGGACAGACUGUAAAUCUGCUGCUUCUUGCUUCGGUGGUUCGAAUCCACCCUCCUCCACCA